RNAcentral lists this long non-coding RNA (267 nucleotides) under Zalophus californianus (California sea lion). RNAcentral describes it as "lncRNA (ENSZCAG00015009062.1)". The record is from RNAcentral. Lineage: Eukaryota; Metazoa; Chordata; Mammalia; Carnivora; Otariidae.
AGCCCAUCUAGUAACACAAUAACCUGACUUAGUGCCUGCUUAUCUGUUCUUCCUUUCUGCCUCCCUGAGUCAUGUUCUCCUGUCAGUCAGUGGGGUGGCCCUUGCUGUCUGCUGGGACAUUUCUCUUCUGGGAAGCCUUAGAGUCCCAUGCUGGGUGCUGAGCGAGCAAGGACAUGAUUUCCAGGAGCUACAGCCUAAUGAGAAGACAAAGCUGAUACUUCGCAGAGGAUUCCAUCCAUCUCCUCCUUCCCUGUGCCCCAACUCUGC